UUUUGGCGCACCGUAUUUUUGCGAAACAUCAACUUCAAGCUCUACUUACCUGCGACUUGAUCAUACGCCAGACACUGCGUGGGCGGAAGCAAAGACGUCUUGCCCAAUCCACUUGCUCGCCCCUUGCUGAUUCACCACAUGACCGGUUCUACAGUUUCCACUAUGGGUCAUCGGCACCAGGACAGGAGACAGGGCUUAUUGCCUUUAUUUUUGACAGGACAGUGGAGGAGAGACAGGAAUGAGAAGAAGGGAGAGACGGGGAAGGAUCGGCAAAUGAUACGGACCGGAAUCAAACCCGGGUCGCUGGCGUAGUAACCCAGUGCCCUACCAUUAGGCCACGGCAGGACCCAUUUAAAAUUCAAUAUUGAGUAGAGCUACAUGUCCAUGUUUUAAAUGAGGCCAAAUGACUGGUGCGUCCAGGUGUUUUGUUUAUAGUAUUUAUAAGUAGAUGUUGUGAUAACAGAGGAUUUCCAGUUGA
Molecule: long non-coding RNA, 478 nt
Organism: Engraulis encrasicolus (European anchovy)
Lineage: Eukaryota; Metazoa; Chordata; Actinopteri; Clupeiformes; Engraulidae
Exons: 3
Source: RefSeq, a predicted model, not a curated record